AUGCUGGAGCUAGAGGACGGAGGCGUGGCGCCCAUUGAUGAUGUCGCCGACAUCUACUUCGUCAAGCUGGAGCGCGAAGGCGCAGAGCUCGCAGGGAUGGUGCCGCGUGCCGCGGAGGAUGGCGAGACGGAGCUCGCUAGGACGACGCCCGUCGUCUUCUUCAUCAAGUCGGCGCCAUGGAGGACAAAGGCGUGGAGGCUCGCAACGAUGCCACCACCGUGCCGCCUUGGAUGGCGGCGCAGAGCUCGCAAGGAGGACACCACCAACGUCAACAUCAUCAAGCUGAACCGGAGGCACGGAGCUCCCGAGGAUGCCGCCGCAUGCCGCGAAGGACGACGGAGGCAUGGAGCUCGCGGGACAUCACCACCAAUGUCUACCUCGCCCGCGACACGGAGGCAAGAAGAUAACACACACCCUUGGUGCUGCCUACAACAUGGAGCCGCGAUGCGGUGCUGUCCGUGA
RNAcentral lists this ribosomal RNA (462 nucleotides) under Triticum aestivum (bread wheat). Its description in RNAcentral is "partial small subunit ribosomal RNA". Lineage: Eukaryota; Viridiplantae; Streptophyta; Magnoliopsida; Poales; Poaceae. The record is from RNAcentral.